This is a long non-coding RNA of Sapajus apella (tufted capuchin), 109 nucleotides long. RefSeq lists it as uncharacterized. The transcript has 4 exons. The record is from RefSeq and is a predicted model, not a curated record. NCBI's taxonomy places the organism in Eukaryota, Metazoa, Chordata, Mammalia, Primates, Cebidae.
UCUCUCUCUCUCUCUCUUGGCAUCAUGGAGGUGGUACCUCCACCGCUGUUUUGAUCUCGGAGGUGGCUCCUGCGUCCAGUGGGCUGUGAAAGGCAUUUCCCCUCUCUCU